This 492-nucleotide ribosomal RNA is filed under the name uncultured bacterium. Its description in RNAcentral is "partial 16S ribosomal RNA". It matches the Rfam family "Bacterial small subunit ribosomal RNA", at positions 29 to 507 of the family's 1533-position model. The record is from RNAcentral.
AGUGAACGCUGGCGGUAGGCCUAACACAUGCAAGUCGAACGGCAGCACAGUAAGAGCUUGCUCUUACGGGUGGCGAGUGGCGGACGGGUGAGGAAUACAUCGGCAUCUUCUUUUUCGUGGGGGAUAACGUAGGGAAACUUACGCUAAUACCGCAUACGACCUACGGGUGAGAGCAGGGGAUCUUCGGACCUUGCGCGAUUGAAUGAGCCGAUGUCGGAUUAGCUAGUUGGCGGGGUAAAGGCCCACCAAGGCGACGAUCCGUAGCUGGUCUGAGAGGAUGAUCAGCCACACUGGAACUGAGACACGGUCCAGACUCCUACGGGAGGCAGCAGUGGGGAAUAUUGGACAAUGGGCGCAGGCCUGAUCCAGCCAUACCGCGUGGGUGAAGAAGGCCUUCGGGUUGUAAAGCCCUUUUGUUGGGAAAGAAAAGCAGCAGGUUAAUACCCCGCUGUUCUGACGGUACCCAAAGAAUAAGCACCGGCUAACUUCGUG